AUGAGUUGAUGAGUCAAUUGGU
This 22-nucleotide non-coding RNA is filed under the name Arabidopsis thaliana (thale cress). Lineage: Eukaryota; Viridiplantae; Streptophyta; Magnoliopsida; Brassicales; Brassicaceae. The record is from RNAcentral.